This 552-nucleotide long non-coding RNA is filed under the name Citrus maxima (pomelo). RNAcentral describes it as "long non-coding RNA (CMAX_LNC004420)". The record is from RNAcentral. Lineage: Eukaryota; Viridiplantae; Streptophyta; Magnoliopsida; Sapindales; Rutaceae.
AAAAAGCUACCAAAAGAGAGGGAAAGAAAGACGAGAAAAAAAAGCUACCAAAAGGGAGGGAAAAGAAAGACGGGGGAAAAAUUGUCGAUCGCAGAAUGAAAAAAAUAAAAUGACCUUAAAAAAUAAUUAUAAUCAUCUUUUGUCUACAAUCCCUAAUUUGCCUUGGAAACUUAAAGUCACCCAAAACUCUCAGUCUUCUUCUCUCCUUUGAGUCUCCUCUCUAUUAGAUUUUUGAAACCUAAUAUCCUUAUCCCUUAUAAUUUCUUUAGAAAUCAUUUUACCUGUUCAUCCCCCUUAACUUGCUGAGCAAUUGCAACCCAGAUGGCUUGUGUUUGAUAGAAUAAAUUGAUGGGUCUGGAUUUCCCCAAAUAUGGCUUGAAUGCAAUGGAGGUAAUUUCUAGGUUUUGCUUUUACGUUUGUUAAUUUUUGUUAUUGAUACUCAGGAUGAUGGGAAGUUGCUUAGAGAAAAUGGUGUGAGUUUGAAAAGAGUGACGAAGAGGUUGCAAAUUUUUUGAAUGAGAAUAGUAAGUCCAUUAGAUUGACAAUAUUUCG